Molecule: ribosomal RNA, 502 nt
Filed under: uncultured Glomus
Lineage: Eukaryota; Fungi; Glomeromycota; Glomeromycetes; Glomerales; Glomeraceae
Description: SSU rRNA
Rfam family: Eukaryotic small subunit ribosomal RNA
Source: RNAcentral
AGCAGCCGCGGUAAUUCCAGCUCCAAUAGCGUAUAUUAAAGUUGUUGCAGUUAAAAAGCUCGUAGUUGAAUUUCGGGGUCAGUAGGUUGGUCGUGCCAAUGGUAUGUACUGGCUUUACUGAUUCCUCCUUCUUGAAGAACUGUAAUGCCAUUAAUUUGGUGUUGCAGGGAAUCAGGACUGUUACUUUGAAAAAAUUAGAGUGUUUAAAGCAGGCUUACGCUUGAAUACAUUAGCAUGGAGUAAUGAAAUAGGACGUUGAUCUUAUUUUGUUGGUUUCUAGGAUUGACGUAAUGAUUAAUAGGGAUAGUUGGGGGCAUUAGUAUUCAAUUGUCAGAGGUGAAAUUCUUGGAUUUAUUGAAGACUAACUGCUGCGAAAGCAUUUGCCAAGGAUGUUUUCAUUAAUCAAGAACGAAAGUUAGGGGAUCGAAGACGAUCAGAUACCGUCGUAGUCUUAACCAUAAACUAUGCCGACUAGGGAUCGGAUGAUGUUAAUUUUUAAUGA